Molecule: long non-coding RNA, 314 nt
Filed under: Homo sapiens (human)
Lineage: Eukaryota; Metazoa; Chordata; Mammalia; Primates; Hominidae
Description: HSALNT0124835
Source: RNAcentral
CGGGACUGGGCGCCGUGGAGCAGGGGGCGGCGCUCAUUGGGGAGGCUCGGGCCGCACAGGUGCCCAUGGAGGGAGUGAGAGGCUCAGGCAUGGCGGACUGCAGGUCCCGAGACCUGCCCGCGGGAAGGCAGCUAAGGCCAGAUCUGUUUUGUGGAAAGGAAAGGAGUGGCUCUACUGAACAUCUGUGAUACCCAGCUGCACAUUGGCAUUUGGGCUCAAUUCCCUUCCAAGAUGGCCGAAUAGGAAGAGCUCCGGUCUGAAACUCCCAGCGUGAUCGACACAGAAGAUGGAGGAUUUCUGCAUUUCCAACUGAG